RNAcentral lists this ribosomal RNA (264 nucleotides) under uncultured bacterium. Its description in RNAcentral is "partial 16S ribosomal RNA". It matches the Rfam family "Bacterial small subunit ribosomal RNA", at positions 793 to 1055 of the family's 1533-position model. The record is from RNAcentral.
GUCCACGCCCUAAACGAUGUCAACUGGUUGUUGGGAAGGUUCCUUCUCAGUAACGUAGCUAACGCGUGAAGUUGACCGCCUGGGGAGUACGGCCGCAAGGUUGAAACUCAAAGGAAUUGACGGGCACCCGCACAAGCGGUGGAUGAUGUGGUUUAAUUCGAUGCAACGCGAAAAACCUUACCUACCCUUGACAUGUCUGGAAUCUUGCAGAGAUGUGAGAGUGCUCGAAAGAGAACCAGAACACAGGUGCUGCAUGGCCGUCGU